RNAcentral lists this ribosomal RNA (157 nucleotides) under Fennellomyces linderi. RNAcentral's name for it is "5.8S ribosomal RNA". It matches the Rfam family "5.8S ribosomal RNA". Rfam says of the family: 5.8S ribosomal RNA (5.8S rRNA) is a component of the large subunit of the eukaryotic ribosome. It is transcribed by RNA polymerase I as part of the 45S precursor that also contains 18S and 28S rRNA. Lineage: Eukaryota; Fungi; Mucoromycota; Mucoromycetes; Mucorales; Lichtheimiaceae. The record is from RNAcentral.
CAACUUUUAGCAAUGGAUCUCUUGGUUUCCGCAUCGAUGAAGAGCGUAGCAAAUUGCGAUAAUUAGUGCGAAUUGCAGACCUUGCGAAUCAUCGAGUUCUUGAACGCAUCUUGCACCUAGUAGUUUAUUCUUCUAGGUACGGUUGCUUCAGUAUUAC